Molecule: ribosomal RNA, 449 nt
Filed under: uncultured bacterium
Lineage: Bacteria
Description: partial 16S ribosomal RNA
Rfam family: Bacterial small subunit ribosomal RNA
Source: RNAcentral
AACGAACGCUGGCGGCAGGCCUAACACAUGCAAGUCGAGCGAGGCCUUCGGGUCAAGCGGCGGACGGGUGAGUAACGCGUGGGAAUAUGCCCUUUGGUACGGAAUAGCCUCGGGAAACUGAGAGUAAUACCGUAUGUGCCCUUCGGGGGAAAGAUUUAUCGCCAAAGGAUUAGCCCGCGUUGGAUUAGGUAGUUGGUGGGGUAAUGGCCUACCAAGCCUACGAUCCAUAGCUGGUUUGAGAGGAUGAUCAGCCACACUGGGACUGAGACACGGCCCAGACUCCUACGGGAGGCAGCAGUGGGGAAUCUUAGACAAUGGGGGAAACCCUGAUCUAGCCAUGCCGCGUGAGUGAUGAAGGCCUUAGGGUUGUAAAGCUCUUUCAGCUGGGAAGAUAAUGACGGUACCAGCAGAAGAAGCCCCGGCUAACUCCGUGCCAGCAGCCGCGGUAA